RNAcentral lists this ribosomal RNA (506 nucleotides) under uncultured bacterium. Its description in RNAcentral is "partial 16S ribosomal RNA". It matches the Rfam family "Bacterial small subunit ribosomal RNA", at positions 29 to 523 of the family's 1533-position model. The record is from RNAcentral.
AGUGAACGCUGGCGGUAGGCCUAACACAUGCAAGUCGAACGGCAGCACAGGAGAGCUUGCUCUCUGGGUGGCGAGUGGCGGACAGGUGAGGAAUACAUCGGAAUCUACUCUGUCGUGGGGGAUAACGUAGGGAAACUUACGCUAAUACCGCAUACGACCUACGGGUGAAAGCAGGGGACCUUCGGGCCUUGCGCGAUUGAAUGAGCCGAUGUCGGAUUAGCUAGUUGGCGGGGUAAAGGCCCACCAAGGCGACGAUCCGUGGCUGGUCUGAGGGGAUGAUCGGCCACACUGGAACUGAGACACGGUCCAGACUCCUACGGGAGGCAGCAGUGGGGAAUAUUGGACAAUGGGCGCAAGCCUGAUCCAGCCAUACCGCGUGGGUGAAGAAGGCCUUCGGGUUGUAAAGCUCUUUUGUUGGGAAAGAAAUCCAGCUGGCUAAUACCCGGUUGGGAUGACGGUACCCAAAGAAUAAGCACCGGCUAACUUCGUGCCAGCCGCCGCGGUAA